AUUGAACGCUGGCGGCAGGCUUAACACAUGCAAGUCGAGCGGUAGAAAGUAGCUUGCUACUUUUGAGAGCGGCGGACGGGUGAGUAAUGCGUGGGAAUCUACCUGGUAGUGGGGGACAACAGUUGGAAACGACUGCUAAUACCGCAUACGCCCUACGGGGAAAGGCGGGGAGUCUUCGGACCUCGUGCUAUCAGAUGAGCCCGCGUGAGAUUAGCUUGUUGGUGGGGUAAUGGCCUACCAAGGCGACGAUCUCUAGCUGGUCUGAGAGGAUGAUCAGCCACACUGGGACUGAGACACGGCCCAGACUCCUACGGGAGGCAGCAGUGGGGAAUAUUGGACAAUGGGCGCAAGCCUGAUCCAGCCAUGCCGCGUGUGUGAAGAAGGCCUCGGUGUAAGCACUUCUAGCGAGGAGGAAGGUUAGUAGC
This 425-nucleotide ribosomal RNA is filed under the name uncultured bacterium. RNAcentral's name for it is "bacterial SSU rRNA". It matches the Rfam family "Bacterial small subunit ribosomal RNA", at positions 30 to 459 of the family's 1533-position model. The record is from RNAcentral.